GCGCAACACUAGAGUGGUACUUCCAAUGCAAAUGUUACAAGCAAAAAUCUUCAGAUUUUCAAAAUUUUGGCUACCAGUACAACCAAAACAAAGACAAAAUAUGCAGCAAAGAGCUAACACUCCUUUUCACCACCUUAACUCUAAUUCUUCAGUUUGGUUAAUUCAGGAUGUAUGUGUCUUCCUCUUCGUGCAAAGAUCCAUUAGCUUACAAGAAUAUACACCUUUCUUCAAGAAUCUCUAGUGCACAGAAAUGGUCUCAUACAAAGCAAAUCUGGCAGUGUCCCCAAUUUUGCUCAUUUCUAAUGUAGAAUCACAUAUGGAUGUCAAUGUUGGCUGAAAAAUGCUCUGUUAUCAUAAUCAAUUGAAGCAGAACUCUGAUCCGCGUUAUUGCAUCUCUUGAAGUGCAUCUUCCUCUAGAAGCUGCGGCAGUGGAUGUUUCAAUGAAGAAGAGCCUAAAAACCCGUUUGUCUCUAGCACCGAUGACCGAACCAUCUUUUCUAUUUCUUCAGAGAGAAGAGGAUU
This 522-nucleotide unclassified non-coding RNA is filed under the name Hevea brasiliensis (rubber tree). The record is from RNAcentral. Lineage: Eukaryota; Viridiplantae; Streptophyta; Magnoliopsida; Malpighiales; Euphorbiaceae.